This is a long non-coding RNA of Hippopotamus amphibius kiboko, 258 nucleotides long. RefSeq lists it as uncharacterized. The record is from RefSeq and is a predicted model, not a curated record. The transcript is spliced from 3 exons. NCBI's taxonomy places the organism in Eukaryota, Metazoa, Chordata, Mammalia, Artiodactyla, Hippopotamidae.
CCAGGUGGCUUCCUGUUUGAAGGGCUCUCUGAUGAUGAGGAUGACUUUCACCCAAGUGCCCGGUCCACGCCCUCGAGCAGCACACCCAGCUCCCGCCCGGCUUCCCUGGGGUACAGCGGAGCUGCCGGGCCCCGGCCCAUCACCCAGAGCGAGCUGGCCACUGCCCUGGCCCUGGCCAGCACUCCGGAGAGCAGCUCUCACACGCCAACUCCUGGCACCCAGGGCCAUUCCUCAGGGACCUCCCCUAUGUCCUCCAGC